CUAUUAAUUACUGAGAGAUGUGUUGAAGUUUCUAACUAUAAUUUGGGAUUUGUCCAUUUUUUUCUUUUAGUUCUGUCAGUUUUUGCUGCCUGCAUUUUGAAGCUCUGAUCCCAGGGGCAUAGGCAGUGAAGAUUGUUACAUUUUCUUGGUCUCAGAAUACCGGCGCCCAGGAUUCUAUCCAACCUCUGCAGGAGAUGGGACUAUGUGCUUGUGGGGAAAUUGACCAGCUCAAGAGAAAGGACCUAAUAAAACUGACAAUCGAGCCUC
Molecule: long non-coding RNA, 267 nt
Organism: Leopardus geoffroyi (Geoffroy's cat)
Lineage: Eukaryota; Metazoa; Chordata; Mammalia; Carnivora; Felidae
Exons: 2
Source: RefSeq, a predicted model, not a curated record